This 333-nucleotide ribosomal RNA is filed under the name uncultured bacterium. RNAcentral describes it as "bacterial SSU rRNA". It matches the Rfam family "Bacterial small subunit ribosomal RNA", at positions 30 to 365 of the family's 1533-position model. The record is from RNAcentral.
AUUGAACGCUGGCGGAAUGCUUUACACAUGCAAGUCGAACGGCAGCACGGGGCAACCUGGUGGCGAGUGGCGAACGGGUGAGUAAUACAUCGGAACGUGCCCAAUCGUGGGGGAUAACGUAGCGAAAGUUACGCUAAUACCGCAUACGAUCUACGGAUGAAAGCGGGGGAUCGCAAGACCUCGCGCGAGUGGAGCGGCCGAUGUCAGAUUAGGUAGUUGGUGGGGUAAAGGCUCACCAAGCCAACGAUCUGUAGCUGGUCUGAGAGGACGACCAGCCACACUGGAACUGAGACACGGUCCAGACUCCUACGGGAGGCAGCAGUGGGGAAUUUU